AUAUAUAUAUAUAAAUAUAUAAUAUAUAUUUGCGCUGCCAUGACUAAUUAGCUCUGCAUAUUUUAUUUAGCAUCAAGACUUGUUGUAAAUGUAGAAUACAGAAUCCCAAUCACAGUACUGGGCUACAACAACAUGAAAGUCAGGAUUUUCGACUUCCUGCUUGGGGGCGAAUAGUUCUGCUGAACAAACGAGCGUGUAAUGAGAAAGCCGCUUUCUGGAUUUCACACCCACGCUCUCACGCUGCUUCUAUUUCUCACACACGCACAGAUUGGCUGGUAGUCGACUCGACGCUAUGACACGCAAUUAUAACAUUAUCUCUAGCGACAGUCCAGGCAGCUGGUUAAUGAGGUGCUGGUGUGUGAUGACUGAGAACUUAAGGCUGGUCCAGAGAACUGGCGAGCUCAUUUCCUCCUUCACGUACUUGAAAAGAGAAGGGUGAACGUGAGGAAUGCCUCGAGGAAGCACAAGGACGGUGCAGCAAGUAAACACAUUGGGGCGUGGUGUUCUAGGAAAACAGUCAAUAAUCUGCCAUGGUGUGAUGCAGCCCGACAGAAAAGUAUGUACUACUUCAGUCUUCAUGUACUCAAGUACUUUGUACCUCUUGUACCAGAGCAAUAUGCCGAUUUGGAAUCAUUAAACAACAACACGGCAUACUUUUUAAUCUGGCCAUCAUCACAUUGAAUACCGUGGAAUGUCUUCGAAACAAGUUCCUGUUACUCUUUCUCUCAAAGUUAAUAAGACCAAACCGUGCAGCUUCUUAGUAUGUUACUGAAAAAUCUGACAACAUAUCGUUGUCCGUACUGAAGGACUUUCCCACGGCGGAAAACGUAAAGUCACAGCUUUUACUUCUGACUGUUACAAAGCGCUGACACUGGAGACUCCUUCCAUAAAUGUUACAUGAACAUCAACGAUUACGUUACGUACGUACAUCAUCCGCCGUACACGUCACCGUGUGCGUUGAUAUCAUCAUCACAGAGGUGUAUUAGGACGAGUGCAUUAAUAGAACCCUUGCAAUGGGAACUGCUGCUGUUCUACAAAAUGAAUCAACACCUUCCGACCAAUCGGAACUGAUCGGCGCUGUGGUAUGAGGCAAAAACAUCAUGUGUUUACUACGCAGGGUAUGAAUCACGAUAUUUUGUUUAAUUAAAGUGCCAAUAAAUGACAAAUCGAUUUUUGUACCACUUUGUACGCAAUAAUAGAGUUUAAAAUUUUUAUUUUAUUAUAUAUAUUUUUUAAAAACACAGCAAUCUUAUGAUAUUCAAAAAAAAUAAUAUUGUCGUAUCACCCAGCACUGUGAGGGACCUAGCACCUGCCUGUCUGCUAAUGUAAUGCCUUUAACCAAUGAUGAGCUCACCUGACUCAUCAAACAGCGAACGUUCAUUAAUGCAAUCGACUAAAACUUUCAGAUCUCUUCAACAGCUUAAAAACCUAGCGUAGGUGGCAUUAGGCAUGCUUUGACUGAUAUGCUCCAGUGAGUGCACCACAUCCUGCUCACUCUUUCCAACUAAGCCCCAAAACUACACUGACUCAUUCAUACCUGCUUUAUAAUAAAUAAAAAUCAGAGACAUUCCAGAGCUGUGCAAGAUGACGCUCAGUAACACGACACACUCGGCACACCUUUCGGUAUCUCCUAUAAUCGGCAUGAUUUAUUUUUGGAAAGCUUUUGUCAUAACAAUUGGUGUGACAAUAUCACGCAGACCAAAACCAAGGCGCAGCUUCUUUCCUUUGUUCGUGUCUUAGAAUUAAAUGAUAAAUCAGAUCACCGCUCAGUAACCCGGUCUGACCACCUGUCCCACCUUGCAUAGCAGAAAUAGCCAGGCUAAUCAGAUCAGAUUCACAUGCAGGUGUUCACAUGAAGCUCCGGUUGACAAAGCUUUAUAAAUCCCUUUCUGAAUUUAAACCACGAUUAACGGAUCGCACGCUAAAGAUCUCGCCGGUAUCGGCACGUCCGACCGUGAUGUAUUGCUGUCUGAUACUUACUCAUCAUGUGCUUGUUUAAAUCAUUAAAACAUUCAGCAGGGCGUGUAGAGCGGAAACGAUUAUACUAGAGUCACAGUGCUUUCCGUUUAUUCUUCUUCAGUUAGCUCAGGGUUUUAUUUGGUACAUUAAUAGUCAUACUAUUAUCCUAUUAUUAAUAGUCAUACUAAGUCCCUCCAGGAUCUUGCGAUUGAAAAAAAUCUCUCGAAAUUACUGUAGAUUUGGGGCGAAACACGCCACGUGACGUCAUCACCAGAGCCCUCUUCGAUUCACGCGAGUCGAACAUGAGUACAGCUGAAAGGUCUCAUGCAGAACUAUUUUGCACGAUUGCAAUUUUGCCAAUUCAAAUAGUUGUUAGCCAAAAAAAAAAAAAAAACCCACAGAUAAUGCAGCAAUAUCGAGUAAAACCUCAGCCAAAUCCUGUACGGACUAGUCAUAGGAAAAGGGUGGACAAACAGGUUUUUUUUUUUUAUUACUAUUAUUAUUUCUAGCUUCUUACUGGAAAACAACCUGAAAGACUUUCGCACUAAACUUGUCUAAACUUGCACUUCACUGUAGCGCAGUAGUGGUGUGCAGCAGUGAAUUAGUGAGCUGAGCAUGGGUUUUGACAGGAAAUCGAGUCGGUGUCAUUGUCUUUUGUGUGUAAUGCGAGGAGUUAAUGUCAUAAAAUGUUGGCCCGUGACUUGCUGAAAAUGAUCAUGAUGAUUAUUCUUCUUCUUAUUAUUAUUAUUAUCUUAAACAUGGUGUGCUACAGGACGGCUCAGCAAUUAAAGCUUCAAUCUCAGCAGCCUUGGAUGGGUCCUUGAGCACGACCCUUAACUCUUGUGCUGCCACUAUCGUAAAUAAGAGCGUCGGCCGAUUGAGCAAAAUUGUAAUUGCAAAAUGAUCACAUGCUGUAUUAAUGUCUGUAUUAAUGCACUUAACCAGUCAACUAGCACUCCAAACACUACUACAUCGCGUUAGCUACCAGUUUAGCCAGCUCAAAUUAUUACACUUGUUAGCUCUGAGAAUAAAUCAUCUAGCUCAUGUAAUGCAGAACUCCACAAACUCGCAAAAAAAAAAAAAAAAGAGAAAAGACAGAAAACAAAAAGCUUCCAAUACCCCGUCCAUCCCGCAAAUCAGCACAGUAUCACACUUCGAUCAGUAGUAAUGUGCAACCUUAAUGCCUCAACACUCUUUAACCCCCCCCCCC
Ictalurus punctatus (channel catfish) is the source of this 3169-nucleotide long non-coding RNA. Lineage: Eukaryota; Metazoa; Chordata; Actinopteri; Siluriformes; Ictaluridae. The record is from Ensembl.